This is a long non-coding RNA of Corapipo altera (White-ruffed manakin), 2138 nucleotides long. RefSeq lists it as uncharacterized. The record is from RefSeq and is a predicted model, not a curated record. The transcript has 3 exons. Lineage: Eukaryota; Metazoa; Chordata; Aves; Passeriformes; Pipridae.
UAAAAAACUCCUCUGUAAUCUGCUGAUGUGCAAAGGUAAACUAGGUCCAGUGAUGCCGGGAUAGAGAUGGAUGGUAUAUGAAGUUCUUUGAGGCACUGGCUUUGCUGCAGCAGAGACUUUCAGAGUAGGAAGCCACUGAAGAUGAUUAUUUUUCCUGAUGCAGGAGGGAUACCCAAGGCUGAAAUGUUCUAUUUGCACUCCCAAAUCAGCAGCAGAGAUGUUCAAGAGAGGAUGCUCACGUGUCAAAACUCUCUCUCUGCUCCCCAGAGUAGCAUGGCUGUAUGGGAAAGGGUGUUCAGGGCCUGAAAAAUCUCUCAGUCUAAAGCCACAGAGAUGUUUGAGGGUCAGUCUGGACUGGAUUGCCUACCAGGCACAUCAGAAAGACAGUGAAAGGAUUCGGCUCAAGGCAAAAACAUAACUUGCAUUUUUGGGUUUUCUGGAGGAGGAGAAGCUUUAUAUCCACAUGGGAAAGCACUUCCAGUGCUGGAAAUCACAUUGCAAGUGGUCUGUACAAAUGAUCCUUCCUUAAAAGAGAAAACUUAGCAAGGUGAGUCAGUUUAAUAAUAAUUUUCUGGAGAAGCUAUGAACAACCCUAAGCAAUAAAGAUUUUUGCCUUUAAUACUUUUCAUCCUCUUAUUUUCUAAUGAAAAAAGAAAGAUAGUGUGAGAAGGAAGGAAGGAAAGAAAAGCAUGUUUUUCCGCGAUUUAUGUGUGUUUCAGUUCAUGAUGAAUGAUCAGAGGUAGUGUGCAGGUAGAAUGGAUUUUUAGCAGCCAAGCAACUUGCCUGGGUAAGAUUUUUCUCCUUAAUGCCAUUUAGCACUACUAUUUUUGGGUGAGAUGUUAAAGAGAGAAAAAAUGGGCCAUGUGAAAAUAUGCCAUGCCAUGCCUAGAUGCAAUUUCCAUGUGAAUAAUUUUAAAUCUUCACUUGCAAGAUGUCAAAUGUUAGGGAACAAAUGCAGACAACCUUAGCUUCUUCUCUGAAGGAAAUCGUAAGAACAAGUUCACGUUUUUUGUCUGCCUGCGUACCAGUCCCCCUCUUGCCUGUCACAUUUCUCCCACUCUAUGUUGUAUGGAUUUUAGCUAAGCCAAGGGAGAAGUGAAAAACAGAAGUAACAGUUCCUACCAGCUCUGUAAACCAGCCACAUGAAGACAUAAGCAAGACCACAGGAAGAACCUCCUGUCUCUUAUCAGGUAACAAAACACUCCAGGUAGAAGAGAGAGCUUAUCAAUGGCCUAGUUUUGAGAUGGCCUUCAGUGAAUGUUGCACUUAAAUAAGUCUUCAAGUCCUUGAUCUCAGUGCUCAGCAGCACUUGUUGAUAUAUUCUCCUACAAUCACCUUAUCACAAAAGAAAAGAUAAUGCACAAUGCUGAUACUGUAACUCUAUACUAUUGAUAGCAGUGACAGUAUUAUAUAAGCAUUUUAUUCAGAGUUCCUGCUCUGUGUUGUACUCUCUUUUUUUGUACCCUUUCUCUUCUCUCUGCUCAAUGGCAUGCACGCAGACACUCCACAAAAGUUUUGGCAGAGUUUAGUUUUGGAAUCCUGGUAUUGAGAGUAACAGCUAGAGUUUUUGCAGGGAGAAACACUGGGCACAUAUUUCAGCAAUGGGCUGGGACUCGGCAGGCUGAUAUUUAAUUCCUCAUGCUCUGCAUCUUCUGUGCUUUUGUUCCUUUCUCUCUAGAAUGGGAAUAAUGAAGUUUCCUUUUUCACACCUUUUUUCAUGUAGAUUGUAAUGGCUAAGGUUCCUCAGGCCUAGCAAAGGUCUGAUCCUGUGUGAACACUCGGAAAACCCCUCCUUGGCAGGGAGAAGUAGAGAGGAAUAUUGCUUCUUGCUCAGCCAAGAACUGCAGAGCAUAUGUUUUGCUAUCCUUAUCCAGACAAGGCUCAGACUCAGUGAAAGCAUCAUCAAAAUGAGUGCAAUCAGGAGAAUUUGGAGCUCAGAAAAGGUGCCAGACUGACAACACUGGAAACUCAGUCUCCAUUUAUCUGCAGGCUGCUGGGUUUUCAUAGAGUCAUAGAAUGGCUUGGGUUGGAAGGGACCUUAAAGACCGACUACUUCCAACUCCCCUUGCCACAGGAUGCCAUACACAACAUACAAGUCACUCAGUCUCAUUCAGCCUGGCCUUGAAAAUUUCCAGGGA